AGAACGAACGCUGGCGGCAGGCCUAACACAUGCAAGUCGAACGCCCCGCAAGGGGAGUGGCAGACGGGUGAGUAACGCGUGGGAACGUGCCCUUCGGUUCGGAAUAACUCAGGGAAACUUGAGCUAAUACCGGAUACGUCCGUAAGGAGAAAGAUUUAUCGCCGAAGGAUCGGCCCGCGUCGGAUUAGCUAGUUGGUGAGGUAACGGCCCACCAAGGCGACGAUCCGUAGCUGGUCUGAGAGGAUGAUCAGCCACACUGGGACUGAGACACGGCCCAGACUCCUACGGGAGGCAGCAGUGGGGAAUAUUGGACAAUGGGCGCAAGCCUGAUCCAGCCAUGCCGCGUGAGUGAUGAAGGCCCUAGGGUUGUAAAGCUCUUUCAACGGUGAAGAUAAUGACGGUAACCGUAGAAGAAGCCCGGCUAACUUCGUGCCAGCAGCCGC
RNAcentral lists this ribosomal RNA (443 nucleotides) under uncultured bacterium. RNAcentral's name for it is "SSU rRNA". It matches the Rfam family "Bacterial small subunit ribosomal RNA", at positions 26 to 518 of the family's 1533-position model. The record is from RNAcentral.